GAUGAACGCUAGCUACAGGCUUAACACAUGCAAGUCGAGGGGAAACGACAUCGAAAGCUUGCUUUUGAUGGGCGUCGACCGGCGCACGGGUGAGUAACGCGUAUCCAACCUGCCCAUCACUUGGGGAUAACCUUGCGAAAGUAAGACUAAUACCCAAUGAUAUCUCUAGAAGACAUCUGAAAGAGCUUAAAGAUUUAUCGGUGAUGGAUGGGGAUGCGUCUGAUUAGCUUGUUGGCGGGGUAACGGCCCACCAAGGCAACGAUCAGUAGGGGUUCUGAGAGGAAGGUCCCCCACAUUGGAGCUGAGACACGGUCCAAACUCCUACGGGAGGCAGCAGUGAGGAAUAUUGGGCAAUGGGCGAGAGCCUGAACCAGCCAAGUAGCGUGCAGGAAGACGGCCCUAGGGGUUGUAAACUGCUUUUAUAAGGGAAUAAAGUGAGAGUCGUGACUCUUUUUGUAUGUACCUUAUGAAUAAGGACCGGCUAAUUCCGUG
RNAcentral lists this ribosomal RNA (492 nucleotides) under uncultured bacterium. RNAcentral describes it as "partial 16S ribosomal RNA". It matches the Rfam family "Bacterial small subunit ribosomal RNA", at positions 28 to 507 of the family's 1533-position model. The record is from RNAcentral.